Molecule: ribosomal RNA, 253 nt
Filed under: uncultured bacterium
Lineage: Bacteria
Description: partial 16S ribosomal RNA
Rfam family: Bacterial small subunit ribosomal RNA
Source: RNAcentral
UACAGAGGAUGCAAGCGUUAUCCGGAAUGAUUGGGCGUAAAGCGUCUGUAGGUGGCUUUUUAAGUCCGCCGUCAAAUCCCAGGGCUCAACUCUGGACAGGCGGUGGAAACUACCAAGCUGGAGUACGGUAGAGGCAAGGGGAAUUCCCGGUGUAGCGGUGAAGUGCGUAGAUAUCGGGAGGAACACCAGUGGCGAAAGCGCCUUGCUGGGCCAGUACUGACACUGAGGAACGAAAGCCAGGGGAGCGAAAGGG